Molecule: ribosomal RNA, 223 nt
Filed under: Clostridioides difficile
Lineage: Bacteria; Bacillati; Bacillota; Clostridia; Peptostreptococcales; Peptostreptococcaceae
Description: partial 23S ribosomal RNA
Rfam family: Bacterial large subunit ribosomal RNA
Source: RNAcentral
CUAAAACUUACUACCGAAGCUACGGCAUCAGUAAUGAUGGGUAGGGGAGCUUCCCAUACGGGUUGAAGCAUGACCGUAAGGACAUGUGGACAGUAGGGGAGUGAGAAUGUUGGCAUGAGUAGCGAGAGGUGGGUGAGAAUCCCACAGGCCGUAAACCCAAGGUUUCCAGGGGAAGGUUCGUCCGCCCUGGGUUAGUCGGGACCUAAGCUGAGGCCGAAAGGCG